UGAGGAAUAUUGCCCAAUGGACGCAAGUCUGAGGCAGCGACGCCGCGUGGGUGAAGAAGGCCUUCGGGUCGUAAAGCCCUUUUCUGUGUGACGAGAACGGACGGUAGCACAGGAAAAAGUCUCGGCUAACUACGUGCCAGCAGCCGCGGUAAAACGUAGGAGGCAAGCGUUACCCGGAGUUACUGGGCGUAAAGCGUGCGUAGGCGGGUCGGUAAGUGGGUCGUGAAAGCGCCGGGCUAAACCGGGCGAGGACGAACUAGGCUGCCGGGCUAGAGGCGGAGAGAGGGGUGCGGGAUUCCGGGUGUUGCGGUGAAAUGUGUAGAGAUCCGGAGGAAGACCAGUGGUGCAAACGGCGCCGUGAGUCCGAACUGACGCGGAGGCACGAAAGCGUGGGGAGCGAACG
RNAcentral lists this ribosomal RNA (403 nucleotides) under uncultured bacterium. RNAcentral's name for it is "bacterial SSU rRNA". It matches the Rfam family "Bacterial small subunit ribosomal RNA", at positions 355 to 774 of the family's 1533-position model. The record is from RNAcentral.